This 983-nucleotide ribosomal RNA is filed under the name Staphylococcus aureus. Its description in RNAcentral is "partial 23S ribosomal RNA". It matches the Rfam family "Bacterial large subunit ribosomal RNA", at positions 12 to 991 of the family's 2925-position model. Lineage: Bacteria; Bacillati; Bacillota; Bacilli; Caryophanales; Staphylococcaceae. The record is from RNAcentral.
UAAGGGCGCACGGUGGAUGCCUUGGCACUAGAAGCCGAUGAAGGACGUUACUAACGACGAUAUGCUUUGGGGAGCUGUAAGUAAGCUUUGAUCCAGAGAUUUCCGAAUGGGGAAACCCAGCAUGAGUUAUGUCAUGUUAUCGAUAUGUGAAUACAUAGCAUAUCAGAAGGCACACCCGGAGAACUGAAACAUCUUAGUACCCGGAGGAAGAGAAAGAAAAUUCGAUUCCCUUAGUAGCGGCGAGCGAAACGGGAAGAGCCCAAACCAACAAGCUUGCUUGUUGGGGUUGUAGGACACUCUAUACGGAGUUACAAAGGACGACAUUAGACGAAUCAUCUGGAAAGAUGAAUCAAAGAAGGUAAUAAUCCUGUAGUCGAAAAUGUUGUCUCUCUUGAGUGGAUCCUGAGUACGACGGAGCACGUGAAAUUCCGUCGGAAUCUGGGAGGACCAUCUCCUAAGGCUAAAUACUCUCUAGUGACCGAUAGUGAACCAGUACCGUGAGGGAAAGGUGAAAAGCACCCCGGAAGGGGAGUGAAAUAGAACCUGAAACCGUGUGCUUACAAGUAGUCAGAGCCCGUUAAUGGGUGAUGGCGUGCCUUUUGUAGAAUGAACCGGCGAGUUACGAUUUGAUGCAAGGUUAAGCAGUAAAUGUGGAGCCGUAGCGAAAGCGAGUCUGAAUAGGGCGUUUAGUAUUUGGUCGUAGACCCGAAACCAGGUGAUCUACCCUUGGUCAGGUUGAAGUUCAGGUAACACUGAAUGGAGGACCGAACCGACUUACGUUGAAAAGUGAGCGGAUGAACUGAGGGUAGCGGAGAAAUUCCAAUCGAACCUGGAGAUAGCUGGUUCUCUCCGAAAUAGCUUUAGGGCUAGCCUCAAGUGAUGAUUAUUGGAGGUAGAGCACUGUUUGGACGAGGGGCCCCUCUCGGGUUACCGAAUUCAGACAAACUCCGAAUGCCAAUUAAUUUAACUUGGGAGUCAGAACA